This 310-nucleotide ribosomal RNA is filed under the name uncultured bacterium. RNAcentral describes it as "bacterial SSU rRNA". It matches the Rfam family "Bacterial small subunit ribosomal RNA", at positions 30 to 334 of the family's 1533-position model. The record is from RNAcentral.
AUUGAACGCUGGCGGUAUGCUUAACACAUGCAAGUCGAACGGUAACGAUCCUAGUUUACUAGGAGGCGACGAGUGGCGGACGGGUGCGUAACGCGUAGGAAUCUAUCUCAAAGUGGGGGACAACCCGGGGAAACUCGGGCUAAUACCGCAUACCCAGUUUACUGGAAAGAGGGCCUCUUCUUGAAAGCUCUCGCUUUGAGGUGAGCCUGCGUCCGAUUAGCUUGUUGGUAGGGUAAAGGCCUACCAAGGCGACGAUCGGUAGCUGUUCUGAGAGGAAGAUCAGCCACACUGGGACUGAGACACGGCCCAG